This 374-nucleotide ribosomal RNA is filed under the name uncultured eukaryote. Its description in RNAcentral is "partial 18S ribosomal RNA". It matches the Rfam family "Eukaryotic small subunit ribosomal RNA", at positions 592 to 976 of the family's 1831-position model. The record is from RNAcentral.
UAAUAGUGUAUAUUAAAGUUGUUGCAGUUAAAAAGCUCGUGGUUGAAUGUUGGUGUCGAACGAGCGGUCAGCUUCGGCUGUACUGCUCUCUCGACUCCUUCCUUCUGUGGACUACGUCGCACUUUACUGUGUGGCGCUAGGACGCAGAUCGUUUACUGUGAAAAAAUUAGAGUGUUCAAAGCAGGCCGUACGCUUGAAUACAUUAGCAUGGAAUAAUGGAAUAGGACGUCGGGCCUAUUUUGUUGGUUCUAGGACCGUCGUAAUGAUUAAUAGGGACAGUUGGGGCCGUUUAUAUUCCGUAGUCAGAGGUGAAAUUCUUGGAUUUACGGAAGAUAAACUACUGCGAAAGCAUUCGGCAAGGAUGUUUUCGUUAA